AUUGCCUGCUGCCAUGUAAGGUGUGGCUUUGCUCACUCAUUACCUUCCACCAUGAUUGUGAGGCCUCCUCAGUGAUGUGGAACUGUUCAGCAGCCAGAGUCCUAUCCUGUACUUCUCUUCACGUUGCAGACAUCCACGAAAGAGUGAGACUGUUUUCGGUUGGAUUGAAGAGCAAAUGUGUGGAAGGCACCAAGACGGAGUUUCACUCUUGUUGCCCAGGCUGGAGUGCAAUGAUGCGAUUUCGGCUCACCGCAACCUCCACCUCCCGGGUUCAAGUAGUUCUUCUGCCUCAGCCUCCCAAGUAGCUGGUAUUACAGCUGCAGGCAGAAGAGGUGCAGUAGAAGGAGAAGUGAAGGAGAUUCCAAGUGUAAUAAUGACUCAAAGCACACUAGCUUAUCUGGAGAUGGAGGAAUUCAGGCCACCUUAUAUCUCUGAGAGAGGCUCUUGGUUCACAGCCUACAAGGAAGCAAAGACUUCACCUCUGAAGCCCAAAUACCUGGAUUCUGACAGCCAACCUGAAUGCGCUUGGAAGAAGAUUCUCCCUCAGAACCUCUGAAUACUAGUCCAGCUUGCCAACAACUUGAUUUCAGCCUAUAAAACCCAGGCCAGAGAAAACAGCUGAGCUCACCAGACUUCUGAGCUACAGAACUGUGAGAUAAUAAAUUUGAUUGGUUAAAGUA
RNAcentral lists this long non-coding RNA (680 nucleotides) under Homo sapiens (human). RNAcentral's name for it is "uncharacterized LOC105372753, transcript variant 11 (LOC105372753)". The record is from RNAcentral. Lineage: Eukaryota; Metazoa; Chordata; Mammalia; Primates; Hominidae.